RNAcentral lists this small RNA (108 nucleotides) under Pectobacterium carotovorum subsp. carotovorum UGC32. Its description in RNAcentral is "RtT RNA". It matches the Rfam family "RtT RNA". Rfam says of the family: This family represents a bacterial cis-regulatory element known as RtT RNA. Lineage: Bacteria; Pseudomonadati; Pseudomonadota; Gammaproteobacteria; Enterobacterales; Pectobacteriaceae. RNAcentral also lists the same sequence under 1 other name. The record is from RNAcentral.
UGCACGUGUCGUGUCUGUAGUUGAAAAUCUGUGCUCAGGUUUGAGCCGAGCGAAGCGAGACAGCAACGCGCCAGCGUUGACCCCGGAUGCAUCCUGCACUACCUAUCA